This 441-nucleotide ribosomal RNA is filed under the name uncultured bacterium. RNAcentral's name for it is "bacterial SSU rRNA". It matches the Rfam family "Bacterial small subunit ribosomal RNA", at positions 90 to 518 of the family's 1533-position model. The record is from RNAcentral.
UGAGAGUGGCGGAAGGGCGAGGAACACGUGGGCAACCUGUCCUUGAGGUGGGGAAAACCGCUGGAAACGGCGGCUAAUACCGAAUGUCGGCGCCGGGAGGCAUCUCCCGAGCGCUAAAGGGGGCGAAAGCUCCCCCUCUUCGAGGGGCUUGCGCACCAUCAGCUUGUUGGCGGGUAACGGCCCACCAAGGCUCACGGUUAGCUGGUCUGAGAGGAUGGCCAGCCGCACUGGGACUGAGAUACUGCCCAGACUCCUACGGGAGCUGCAGUCGAGGAUCAUUCGCAAUGGGCGAAAGCCUGACGAUGCGACGCUGCGUGGAAGGGAUGAAGGCCUUCGGGUUGUAAACUCCUGUCAUGAGGGAAAAGGAGACCUUACCUAAUACGUAGGGAAUUUGAUGGUACCUCAAGAGGAAGGGACGGCUAACUCUGUGCCAGCCGCAGC